UGACGAUCAAACUCUGAAGUUCGUUUUUAUGUGAUCACGGAGGAAAGCUCGGUAAGGGUGUGCCCUUUGAACGAAGAACGCGGAUUCGUUGCUCACACUUUU
Long non-coding RNA from Bombus impatiens (common eastern bumble bee), 102 nucleotides. RefSeq lists it as uncharacterized. Lineage: Eukaryota; Metazoa; Arthropoda; Insecta; Hymenoptera; Apidae. The record is from RefSeq and is a predicted model, not a curated record. The transcript has 3 exons.